CCUACGGGUGGCAGCAGUAGGGAAUUUUUCACAAUGGGCGAAAGCCUGAUGGAGCAACGCCGCGUGCAGGAUGAAGGCCAUCGGGUUGUAAACUGCUUUUAUAAGCGAGAAAUAUGAUGGUAACUUAUGAAUAAGGAUCGGCUAACUACGUGCCAGCAGCCGCGGUCAUACGUAGGAUCCGAGCAUUAUCCGGAGUGACUGGGUGUAAAGAGUUGCGUAGGUGGCAUAAUAAGUAGCUAGUGAAAUCUGGUGGCUCAACCAUUCAGACUAUUAGCUAAACUGUUAAGCUCGAGACCGUUAGGGGUAACUGGAAUUUCUAGUGUAGGAGUGAAAUCCGUAGAUAUUAGAAGGAACACCAAUAGCGUAGGCAGGUUGCUGGGACGGUUCUGACACUAAGGCACGAAAGCGUAGGGAGCAAACGGGAUUAGAUACCCCUGUAGUC
Molecule: ribosomal RNA, 442 nt
Filed under: uncultured bacterium
Lineage: Bacteria
Description: partial 16S ribosomal RNA
Rfam family: Bacterial small subunit ribosomal RNA
Source: RNAcentral